GCCAGUGUGGUGUAGUGGUUAGAGCAUGGAACUAGGACUCUCAGAAGCAGGGUUUGAAUCCCUGCUUGGCCA
Non-coding RNA from Phrynosoma platyrhinos (Desert horned lizard), 72 nucleotides. NCBI's taxonomy places the organism in Eukaryota, Metazoa, Chordata, Lepidosauria, Squamata, Phrynosomatidae. The record is from the annotation of a GenBank genome assembly.